This 264-nucleotide ribosomal RNA is filed under the name uncultured archaeon. Its description in RNAcentral is "partial 16S ribosomal RNA". It matches the Rfam family "Archaeal small subunit ribosomal RNA", at positions 717 to 982 of the family's 1478-position model. The record is from RNAcentral.
AGACGUCUACAUUAGAUACCCGUGUAGUCCCAGCCGUAAACUAUGCGCGUUAGGUGUAUCGAUGACCACGAGUCACCGAGGUGCCGAAGGGAAACCGUGAAACGUGCCGCCUGGGAAGUACGGUCGCAAGGCUGAAACUUAAAGGAAUUGGCGGGGAGCACCACAACGGGUGGAGCCUGCGGUUUAAUUGGACUCAACGCCGGGAAGCUCACCGGAUAAGACAGCGGAAUGAUUGCCGGGCUGAAGACUCUGCAUGACUAGCUG